Long non-coding RNA from Sinocyclocheilus rhinocerous, 116 nucleotides. RefSeq lists it as uncharacterized. NCBI's taxonomy places the organism in Eukaryota, Metazoa, Chordata, Actinopteri, Cypriniformes, Cyprinidae. The record is from RefSeq and is a predicted model, not a curated record. The transcript has 3 exons.
GGGUGUCAUAGGGUAUUCACAGGGUAACGUUAGGAGGGGGUAGUGAAGCUGGGUGCAACUAAAAAGGUGCCAUUGUCCGGUGAGGUCCGGUUGGGGAGUUACGGAACAAUCUCAUA